UCCAAUCGAACUCGGAGAUAGCUGGUUCUCCCCGAAAUAGCUUUAGGGCUAGCGUCGAGGUAAAGUCGUGUGAAGGUAGAGCACUGAAUAUGUGAUGGCCCCAUCUCGGGGUACUGAACAUAAUCAAACUCCGAAUGUCACAAAGAUAUACUCGGCAGUCAGACAGUGGGUGAUAAGGUCCAUUGUCAAAAGGGAAACAGCCCAGACCAUCAGCUAAGGUCCCAAAAUAUAUACUAAGUGGAAAAGGAUGUGGAGAUGUCCAGACAACUAGGAGGUUGGCUCAGAAGCAGCCAUCCUUUAAAGAGUGCGUAACAGCUCACUAGUCGAAUGACUCUGCGCCGAUAAUUUACCGGGGCUAAGUAUAUUACCGAAGCUAUGGAUUUACGCGUAAGCGUGAGUGGUAGGGGAGCGUUCUAUGUGCGGAGAAGCGGUACCGUAAGGAGCCGUGGAGCGCAUAGAAGAGAGAAUGCCGGUGUGAGUAGCGAAACGUGGGUGAGAAUCCCACGCACCGAAAACCCAAGGUUUCCAGAGGAAGGUUCGUCCGCUCUGGGUAAGUCGGGACCUAAGGCGAGGCCGAGAGGCGUAGUCGAUGGACAACAGGUAGAGAUUCCUGUACUUACGGUAUGAAUGAUGGAGUGACGGAGAAGGCUAGCGGAUCCUGCUGAUGGAAAUGCAGGUGCAAGCGAGGUAGCCGACAGCCAGGCAAAUCCGGCUGUCGAAAGGCAAAGGCGUGAGGCGUAUGGAAAGCUGCGGCAAGUACAGAAGUCCGUGAAGCCAGCUUCCAAGAAAAGCUUCUAGUGAUAAUCAUACAGUAACCCGUACCGAAAAUGGACACACAUGGGUGAGGAGAGAAUCCUAAGGUGAGCGAGAGAACUAUAGCUAAGGAACUCUGCAAAAUGACUCCGUAACUUAGGGAUAAGGAGUGCUCAUAGAGAUAUGAGCCGCAGUGAAACGGCCCAAGCGACUGUUUACCAAAAACACAGCUCUAUGCUAAGUCGAAAGACGACGUAUAUGGGGUGACGCCUGCCCGGUGCUGGAAGGUUAAGAGGAUGUGUCAGCGCAAGCGAAGCAUUGAAUUGAAGCCCCAGUAAACGGCGGCCGUAACUAUAACGGUCCUAAGGUAGCGAAAUUCCUUGUCAGGUAAGUUCUGACCCGCACGAAAGGCGUAACGAUUUGGGCGCUGUCUCAGCUGUAGACUCGGUGAAGUCUUAGUACCUGUGAAGAUGCAGGUUACCCGCGACUAGACGGAAAGACCCCAUGGAGCUUUACUGUAGCUUGAUAUUGGACUUUGAUGCAAGAUGUACAGGAUAGGUAGGAGACUGAGAGACAUGCACGCCAGUGUGUGAGGAGUCAAUGUUGGGAUACUACUCUUCUUGUAUUGGAGUUCUAACCGGAUGCCAUGGAACUGGCAACGGGACAGUGUCAGGUGGGCAGUUUGACUGGGGCGGUCGCCUCCCAAAGAGUAACGGAGGCGCCCAAAGGUUCCCUCAGAAUGGAUGGAAAUCAUUCGAAGAGUGCAAUGGCAGAAGGGAGCCUGACUGCGAGACAGACAAGUCGGGCAGAGACGAAAGUCGGGCAUAGUGAUCAGGUGACAUCGAGUGGAAGAGUCAUCGCUCAACGGAUAAAAGCUACCUCGGGGAUAACAGGCUGAUCUCCCCCAAGAGUCCACAUCGACGGGGAGGUUUGGCAC
This 1690-nucleotide ribosomal RNA is filed under the name human gut metagenome. Its description in RNAcentral is "bacterial LSU rRNA". It matches the Rfam family "Bacterial large subunit ribosomal RNA", at positions 828 to 2524 of the family's 2925-position model. The record is from RNAcentral.